Molecule: long non-coding RNA, 215 nt
Filed under: Sorghum bicolor (sorghum)
Lineage: Eukaryota; Viridiplantae; Streptophyta; Magnoliopsida; Poales; Poaceae
Description: long non-coding RNA (SBIC_LNC009212)
Source: RNAcentral
UAGUAAAAGUAAGUAGAUAAGGCUAAUAGAUAAAGUCUAAUGAGACAGGUUAGUAAGGUAGUUAAUAGAUCCAAUGGUGUGUUCCACCCAAAAGGGACAAUCUAAACGGCUGUUUCUAGCUAGGUUGCGUGAUCCUACGGUCAACACGGCUUUGGUACCACUUCUGUCACACCCGGAUGUAAAAGAGCAUUCGGGUGCCAAAUCACAUGCGCGCC